UGGGGAAUAUUGGACAAUGGGCGAAAGCCUGAUCCAGCCAUGCCGCGUGUGUGAAGAAGGUCUUCGGAUUGUAAAGCACUUUAAGUUGGGAGGAAGGGCAGUAACUUAAUACGUUGCUGUUUUGACGUUACCGACAGAAUAAGCACCGGCUAACUCUGUGCCAGCAGCCGCGGUAAUACAGAGGGUGCAAGCGUUAAUCGGAAGUACUGGGCGUAAAGCGCGCGUAGGUGGUUUGUUAAGUUGGAUGUGAAAGCCCCGGGCUCAACCUGGGAACUGCAUUCAAAACUGACAAGCUAGAGUAUGGUAGAGGGUGGUGGAAUUUCCUGUGUAGCGGUGAAAUGCGUAGAUAUAGGAAGGAACACCAGUGGCGAAGGCGACCACCUGGACUGAUACUGACACUGAGGUGCGAAAGCGUGGGGAGCAAACA
RNAcentral lists this ribosomal RNA (427 nucleotides) under uncultured Pseudomonas sp. Its description in RNAcentral is "bacterial SSU rRNA". It matches the Rfam family "Bacterial small subunit ribosomal RNA", at positions 355 to 774 of the family's 1533-position model. Lineage: Bacteria; Pseudomonadati; Pseudomonadota; Gammaproteobacteria; Pseudomonadales; Pseudomonadaceae. The record is from RNAcentral.